CGGUUUGGUCAGUCCUCCGGGAAAUCUGACGGCUCAACCGUUAGGCUUUCGGGGGAUACUGCCAGGCUUGGAACCGGGAGAGGUAAGAGGUACUACAGGGGUAGGAGUGAAAUCUUGUAAUCCCUGUGGGACCACCUGUGGCGAAGGCGUCUUACCAGAACGGGUUCGACGGUGAGGGACGAAAGCUGGGGGCACGAACCGGAUUAGAUACCCGGGUAGUCCCAGCCGUAAACGAUGCUCGCUAGGUGUCAGGCGUGGCGCGACCGUGUCUGGUGCCGCAGGGAAGCCGUGAAGCGAGCCACCUGGGAAGUACGGCCGCAAGGCUGAAACUUAAAGGAAUUGGCGGGGGAGCACAACAACGGGUGGAGCCUGCGGUUUAAUUGGACUCAACGCCGGACAACUCACCGGGGGCGACAGCAAUAUGUAGGCCAAGCUGAAGACUUUGCCUGAAUCGCUGAGAGGAGGUGCAUGGCCGUCGCCAGUUCGUACUGUGAAGCAUCCUGUUAAGUCAGGCAACGAGCGAGACCCGUGCCCACUGUUACCAGCAUAUCCUCCGGGAUGACGGGUACUCUGUGGGGACCGCCGGUGUUAAAUCGGAGGAAGGUGCGGGCCACGGUAGG
This 620-nucleotide ribosomal RNA is filed under the name uncultured Methanosarcina sp. RNAcentral's name for it is "bacterial SSU rRNA". It matches the Rfam family "Archaeal small subunit ribosomal RNA", at positions 526 to 1145 of the family's 1478-position model. The record is from RNAcentral. Lineage: Archaea; Methanobacteriati; Methanobacteriota; Methanomicrobia; Methanosarcinales; Methanosarcinaceae.